This is a long non-coding RNA of Neoarius graeffei (lesser salmon catfish), 800 nucleotides long. RefSeq lists it as uncharacterized. Lineage: Eukaryota; Metazoa; Chordata; Actinopteri; Siluriformes; Ariidae. The record is from RefSeq and is a predicted model, not a curated record. The transcript has 3 exons.
GAGAGCAGUACAUCUCAGAAGACAGUGAAAAUGCACCUAACGCUCUUUUUUUUCUGCACCAGUGCAGUGUUCUCCGGCAUCUUUGCAAGAAAUGGAUCUCCAAUAAAUUGUUGCCUCACAAGAAGUCCUGUGAGAGUCAAUGUGAAAAAAAUUGUGAGGUACAGGGAGCAGCAUAAAGGACUUUGUCCAGUUACAGCAAUUGUUUUCACCCUUGAAAAGGGGAAAGUCCUCUGCUCUGAUCCUGCCUCACCCUGGACAAAAAUGGCAAUGCGGAAGGUCGAUGCAAGAAAAGGAAUGCAAAACCACAGCAUUGCACUGGCACCAGAUGCUCCCCAGGAGAACACAGAGGGUUUACUGACAACCACCAUGUUGCCUUUGGCCAGUAGAUGGCCUCAAGUGCCCGCAAGUGUAGCCAUAUCGAUGGGGAAGCACAGAGCAGACUCACCUUCAAAAGUAAAACCUUCUAAACCAAAGUGCAAGCAAAUUAAAAUAAAUAAAUGGAAGUGUUCAAAAAAAAGAAGGAAGGGGAAAAGAAAGAUCACCAAGCAACCAGUACUCAAUCGUACAACUUCUUUUACUCCAGCUUCUUAUAAAUAAGGGCUUGUAACCAUAUUUUCAUGUCUAAAGGGCAUAAAUUAUUUUCUUAGUUAUAGAAACUAGACUUGUAGACUUGCAUACAAAUGUGAAUUGUGAAAUGGAAGGAAAAAAGAGUAAACAAAAUAAAAUAGAAACGAAUAUUGUUCUGCUGUAUUGUGUCUCCUGACCCUACUAUCUCCACUAUAAAUCUAUUCUAUACUAUA